This 479-nucleotide ribosomal RNA is filed under the name uncultured bacterium. RNAcentral's name for it is "bacterial SSU rRNA". It matches the Rfam family "Bacterial small subunit ribosomal RNA", at positions 30 to 507 of the family's 1533-position model. The record is from RNAcentral.
AUUGAACGCUGGCGGCAGGCCUAACACAUGCAAGUCGAGCGUGAAAGUCCUUCGGGAUGAGUAAAGCGGCGGACGGGUGAGUAACGCGUAGGAAUCUGCCCUGAAGCGGGGGAUAACUUGGGGAAACUCAAGCUAAUACCGCAUAGACCUAAGGGUGAAAGAUGGGGAUCUUCGGACCUAUCGCUUCAGGAGGAGCCUGCGUCGGAUUAGCUUGUUGGUGGGUAAAGGCCUACCAAGGCGACGAUCCGUAGCUGGUCUGAGAGGAUGGCCAGCCACACUGGGACUGAGACACGGCCCAGACUCCUACGGGAGGCAGCAGUGGGGAAUAUUGGACAAUGGGCGCAAGCCUGAUCCAGCCAUGCCGCGUGUGUGAAGAAGGCUCUAGGGUUGUAAAGCACUUUAAGUUGUGAGGAAGUUACGAUUGCAAAUAGUGGUCGUAAUUGACGUUAGCAACAGAAUAAGCACCAGCUAACUCCGUG